RNAcentral lists this ribosomal RNA (465 nucleotides) under Vreelandella stevensii. RNAcentral describes it as "partial 16S ribosomal RNA". It matches the Rfam family "Bacterial small subunit ribosomal RNA", at positions 338 to 795 of the family's 1533-position model. The record is from RNAcentral. Lineage: Bacteria; Pseudomonadati; Pseudomonadota; Gammaproteobacteria; Oceanospirillales; Halomonadaceae.
CCUACGGGAGGCAGCAGUGGGGAAUAUUGGACAAUGGGCGAAAGCCUGAUCCAGCCAUGCCGCGUGUGUGAAGAAGGCCUUCGGGUUGUAAAGCACUUUCAGUGGGGAAGAAAGCCUUGGGGCUAAUACCCUCGAGGAAGGACAUCACCCACAGAAGAAGCACCGGCUAACUCCGUGCCAGCAGCCGCGGUAAUACGGAGGGUGCGAGCGUUAAUCGGAUUUACUGGGCGUAAAGCGCGCGUAGGCGGUCUGAUAAGCCGGUUGUGAAAGCCCCGGGCUCAACCUGGGAACGGCAUCCGGAACUGUCAGGCUAGAGUGCAGGAGAGGAAGGUAGAAUUCCCGGUGUAGCGGUGAAAUGCGUAGAGAUCGGGAGGAAUACCAGUGGCGAAGGCGGCCUUCUGGACUGACACUGACGCUGAGGUGCGAAAGCGUGGGUAGCAAACAGGAUUAGAUACCCGUGUAGUC